This 600-nucleotide ribosomal RNA is filed under the name uncultured archaeon. Its description in RNAcentral is "bacterial SSU rRNA". It matches the Rfam family "Archaeal small subunit ribosomal RNA", at positions 57 to 663 of the family's 1478-position model. The record is from RNAcentral.
GUCAUUGUAGCAAUACAAGGCAGACGGCUCAUUAACGCGUAGUCAACCUACCCUAUGGACGGGAAUAACCUCGGGAAACUGAGUAUAAUGCCCGAUAGAACACUAUACCUGGAAUGGUUUGUGUUCCAAAUGAUUUAUCGCCAUAGGAUGGGACUGCGGCCUAUCAGUUUGUUGGUGAGGUAAUGGCCCACCAAGACUAUUACAGGUACGGGCUCUGAGAGGAGUGGCCCGGAGAUGGGUACUGAGACACGGACCCAGGCCCUAUGGGGCGCAGCAGGCGAGAAAACUUUGCAAUGUGCGAAAGCACGACAAGGUUAAUCCGAGUGGUUUCUGCUAAAGGAACCUUUUGUCAGUCCUAGAAACACUAACGAAUAAGGGGUGGGCAAGUUCUGGUGUCAGCCGCCGCGGUAAAACCAGCACCUCAAGUGGUCAGGAUGAUUAUUGGGCCUAAAGCAUCCGUAGCCGGUUCUGGAAGUUUUCGGUUAAAUCUGUACGCUUAACGUACAGGCUGCCGGGAAUACUGCAGAGCUAGGGAGUGGGAGAGGUAGACGGUACUCGGUAGGAAGGGGUAAAAUCCUUUGAUCUAUUGAUGACCACCUG